CAGGAAGUUGUGCAGAACUUGCUGGACAUGGGCCUGGAGGCUUUCCCUUGAGACCAGGGCAAGCCAGACCAUCCUUUCACCCAGCACAGUGGGCCUUCCCCUCUGGGAGGAUCUUGAACUCAAGAGUAGAUCUUAGAAUGGACAGAUUUCUCCUCAUUUGCUGGAAAAAUCUAGUAAGCAGCUGGCCAACAGUGGAAACUGCUAUUUUAAAAGAUAACGAACUCCCCAUUGAUGGAGAUAUUCAAGCAGAACUGGCUGGCUGUCUUCCAGGGAUAUGGCAGAGCGAAGAUCAGACAUCAGGGAGAGUUUGCCUCCUCUGCCUUCCAAAGCCUCUUUACCUCUAUGGUUCUUAUGUGGGUAGAGCACUAACUCUAAGUGAUCACAGGCCCAGGGUUCAAGUCCUGGUUCCACACUUAGCCAGCUAGAUGACAUUGGGCAAGUCACUUAAUGUUUAACGACCGAUCAUUAUUUGAAACUAGCAGUAUUCAAAAGAAAUGUUUUAUAUAUAAUUUAAAAUUUUCUAGUAGUCAUCUUUAAAAAGUAACAAAUAAAAUGAAUUUUAAUAAUUUAUCUAAUCCAACACAUUCAAAGCGUUGUCAUUUCAACAUGUAAUCAAAUAUCAAAAUUAUAAAUGAGACGUGAUUAUAAUCUCAAUCUCUCUCUCGCUCUGGCUCUCACUAAAUUUUAAAAAUCUGUUGUAUGUCUUGUACUUCAGCACGUCCAGACCGAUCACCUUUCAGGAGCUCCACAGUCACAUGUAGCUAGUGACUGUCAUACUGACCAGGGCAGCUCUAAAUCCUCCAUCCUAGCUCUGCUUUGUGAUUCUGCUUUGUCACUGUAACUCUGAG
Molecule: long non-coding RNA, 848 nt
Filed under: Marmota monax (woodchuck)
Lineage: Eukaryota; Metazoa; Chordata; Mammalia; Rodentia; Sciuridae
Source: RNAcentral